ACGUUAGCGGCGGACGGGUGAGUAACACGUGGGUAACCUACCUAUAAGACUGGGAUAACUUCGGGAAACCGGAGCUAAUACCGGAUAAUAUUUCGAACCGCAUGGUUCGAUAGUGAAAGAUGGUUUUGCUAUCACUUAUAGAUGGACCCGCGCCGUAUUAGCUAGUUGGUAAGGUAACGGCUUACCAAGGCGACGAUACGUAGCCGACCUGAGAGGGUGAUCGGCCACACUGGAACUGAGACACGGUCCAU
RNAcentral lists this ribosomal RNA (251 nucleotides) under uncultured Staphylococcus sp. RNAcentral's name for it is "partial 16S ribosomal RNA". It matches the Rfam family "Bacterial small subunit ribosomal RNA", at positions 89 to 334 of the family's 1533-position model. The record is from RNAcentral. Lineage: Bacteria; Bacillati; Bacillota; Bacilli; Caryophanales; Staphylococcaceae.